CUACGUGCCAGCAGCCGCGGUAAUACGUAGGGUGCGAGCGUUAAUCGGAAUUACUGGGCGUAAAGCGAGCGCAGACGGUUACUUAAGCAGGAUGUGAAAUCCCCGGGCUCAACCUGGGAACUGCGUUCUGAACUGGGUGACUAGAGUGUGUCAGAGGGAGGUAGAAUUCCACGUGUAGCAGUGAAAUGCGUAGAGAUGUGGAGGAAUACCGAUGGCGAAGGCAGCCUCCUGGGAUAACACUGACGUUCAUGCUCGAAAGCGUGGGUAGCAAACAGGAUUAGAUACCCUGGUAGUCCACGCCCUAAACGAUGUCAAUUAGCUGUUGGGCAACUUGAUUGCUUAGUAGCGUAGCUAACGCGUGAAAUUGACCGCCUGGGGAGUACGGUCGCAAGAUUAAAACUCAAAGGAAUUGACGGGGACCCGCACAAGCGGUGGAUGAUGUGGAUUAAUUCGAUGCAACGCGAAGAACCUUACCUGUUGUCUUGACAU
Molecule: ribosomal RNA, 489 nt
Filed under: uncultured bacterium
Lineage: Bacteria
Description: bacterial SSU rRNA
Rfam family: Bacterial small subunit ribosomal RNA
Source: RNAcentral